CAAAAUUUUAAGAAAUAUAAUUGCUAAAAUUGAUUAUUUUAGCUUAAAUAUAUAGCUAGUAUACUUUUAGAUAAAAUAUAAUUAAAUAAUUGAAAUCCAAGGAUAGAUAUACUUGAAGCACAUGACAAAAAAGGUAAAGACUAUGAUAAACUAUAAACAUAUAAAAACAUUAGAACACCUAAAAUCAGCAAUGAUAUGGAAUCACUUCUCUCAAUUUGAUAAAAAAGUACUUGAAUUUCUUUCUAUUCAUUGGAGAAUUAUUAUUUAAAUUCCAAUUCACGUCGAAUCUUUCCACAACCAAUUAACAAAGACGAAGGCACUCCCUCAAUUCCUUCGGGUUAUUUUGAUACCGACUCCAACAUAAUUCGGCACACUCUUGCACACUAGAUUCAGCAUAAUAAUCACUCCAACCUCUCUUAGGAAUAGUGUUAAGAAAUUUAGCAUUUACACAACAAAUAAUUAUUC
This 465-nucleotide long non-coding RNA is filed under the name Arachis ipaensis. RNAcentral's name for it is "long non-coding RNA (AIPA_LNC001599)". Lineage: Eukaryota; Viridiplantae; Streptophyta; Magnoliopsida; Fabales; Fabaceae. The record is from RNAcentral.